CAGUCGCCGCGGUAAGACGGAGGGGGCUAGCGUUGUUCGGAAUGACUGGGCGUAAAGGGCGCGUAGGCGGUUUUUUAAGUGAGGCGUGAAAGCCCUGGGCUUAACCCAGGAGGUGCGUUUCAUACUGGAAGACUUGAGUACGAGAGAGGAGAAUGGAAUUCCUAGUGUAGGGGUGAAAUUCGUAGAUAUUAGGAAGAACACCAGUGGCGAAGGCGACUUUCUGGCUCGUAACUGACGCUGAGGCGCGAAAGCGUGGGGAGCAAACAGGAUUAGAUACCCGAGUAGUCCCUGUCUCUUUACA
This 301-nucleotide ribosomal RNA is filed under the name uncultured bacterium. Its description in RNAcentral is "partial 16S ribosomal RNA". It matches the Rfam family "Bacterial small subunit ribosomal RNA", at positions 509 to 808 of the family's 1533-position model. The record is from RNAcentral.